UAGGGAAUCUUCCGCAAUGGGCGCAAGCCUGACGGAGCAAUACCGCGUGAGGGAUGACAACCUGUGGGUUGUAAACCUCUUUUUCAAGGAGGAAGAUCUGACGUGUACUUGAAGAAUAAGCAUCGGCUAACUCCGUGCCAGCAGCCGCGGUAAGACGGAGGAUGCAAGUGUUAUCCGGAAUCACUGGGCGUAAAGCGUCUGUAGGUGGUUUAAUAAGUCAGUUGUUACAAAUUGAGGCUUAACCUUAAAUAAGCAACAGAUACUGUUAAACUUGAGUAUAGUAGAGGUAAAAGGAAUUUCCAGUGGAGCGGUGAAAUGCGUAGAGAUUGGAAAGAACACCGAUGGCGAAG
RNAcentral lists this ribosomal RNA (350 nucleotides) under uncultured bacterium. RNAcentral's name for it is "bacterial SSU rRNA". It matches the Rfam family "Bacterial small subunit ribosomal RNA", at positions 355 to 720 of the family's 1533-position model. The record is from RNAcentral.